UCCAGCAGCCGCGGUAAUUCCAGCUCCAAUAGCGUAUAUUAAAAUUGUUGCAGUUAAAAAGCUCGUAGUUGAAUUUCUGCUAAAAAUAACCGGUCUGCUUUUAAUAAAGGUGGUAUCUUGGUGUGUUUUUAGCAAUAAUGUCCUUUGAAAUGUUUUUUACUUCAUUGUAAUAAAUUAUAUUCAGGAUUUUUACUUUGAGAAAAUUAGAGUGUUUCUAGCAGGCUAACGCUUUGAAUACUGCAGCAUGGAAUAAUAAAAUAGGAUUUUGGUUCUACAUUAUUGGUUUUAAGAGCUAAAUUAAUGAUUGAUAGGGACAGUUGGGGGCAUUUGUAUUUAACUGUCAGAGGUGAAUUUCUUAGAUUUGUUAAAGACAAACUACUGCGAAAGA
RNAcentral lists this ribosomal RNA (388 nucleotides) under Hepatozoon felis. RNAcentral's name for it is "SSU rRNA". It matches the Rfam family "Eukaryotic small subunit ribosomal RNA", at positions 566 to 952 of the family's 1831-position model. The record is from RNAcentral. Lineage: Eukaryota; Apicomplexa; Hepatozoidae.